Molecule: ribosomal RNA, 352 nt
Filed under: Pseudoselenomonas ruminantium
Lineage: Bacteria; Bacillati; Bacillota; Negativicutes; Selenomonadales; Selenomonadaceae
Description: Selenomonas ruminantium partial 16S ribosomal RNA
Source: RNAcentral
GGAGUCUGGACCGUGUCUCAGUUCCAAUGUGGCCGUUCAUCCUCUCAGACCGGCUACUGAUCGUCGCCUUGGUAGGCCGUUACCCCACCAACCAGCUAAUCAGACGCAGACCCAUCGCAAAGCGAUAGCUUACAAGUAGAGGCCAUCUUUAAUAUCUCUCCCAUGCAGAAAAGAUACAACAUUCGGUAUUAGCACCCCUUUCGGGAUGUUGUCCCCAUCUUUGCGGCAGGUUGUCUACGCGUUACUCACCCGUUUGCCACUCGACUCAUCUAAGCAAGCUUAAAAUCGUCUCGUUCGACUUGCAUGUGUUAAGCACGCCGCCAGCGUGUCCUCGAGCCACGGAUCAUACUCU